GGGGGUAUAGCUCAGCUGGGAGAGCAGCAGACUGAAGUUACAAAAUUAAUCCAGACCAUGGUAAAUACUUCUGAAGGUCCCGCGUUCGAUCCGCCGUACCCCCA
Molecule: non-coding RNA, 104 nt
Organism: Paramarasmius palmivorus
Lineage: Eukaryota; Fungi; Basidiomycota; Agaricomycetes; Agaricales; Marasmiaceae
Source: the annotation of a GenBank genome assembly